Molecule: ribosomal RNA, 430 nt
Filed under: uncultured bacterium
Lineage: Bacteria
Description: partial 16S ribosomal RNA
Rfam family: Bacterial small subunit ribosomal RNA
Source: RNAcentral
GUGGGGAAUAUUGCACAAUGGGCGCAAGCCUGAUGCAGCAACGCCGCGUGAGGGAUGACGGCCUUCGGGUUGUAAACCUCUUUUAGUAGGGAAGAAGCGAAAGUGACGGUACCUGCAGAAAAAGCACCGGCUAACUACGUGCCAGCAGCCGCGGUAAUACGUAGGGUGCAAGCGUUGUCCGGAAUUAUUGGGCGUAAAGAGCUCGUAGGCGGCUUGUCGCGUCUGCUGUGAAAACCCGAGGCUCAACCUCGGGCCUGCAGUGGGUACGGGCAGGCUAGAGUGCGGUAGGGGAGAUUGGAAUUCAUGGUGUAGCGGUGGAAUGCGCAGAUAUCAGGAGGAACAUCGAUGGCGAAGGCAGAUCUCUGGGCCGUAACUGACGCUGAGGAGCGAAAGCAUGGGGAGCGAACAGGAUUAGAAACCCGGGUAGUCC